UAAAAAUAUUUUAUUGUUUUUUUUACAAUGUUCUUUGAUUUUAUAGACAAUAAAAAUUGGAAAAAAAAUGUUUAUGUAUUGUAUGUACUUCUAAACAAAAUUAAAUUAAUAUCUUUUAUGUCAUGGUGGCAGGAAAAUGGAGAAUGUCUAUGGUAUAGCAGAGUUUUUGCCUUGGAGAUGGAAUUUCUGAAAUUGGUAAAUUCGUUUAGAGUUUGAUGAAACCUAUCGCCCAAUACCGCUUUUCUAUCGGCAGAAAAAGUAGUUAAAAUUAUGGUUGAAGUUUUCUAAGUCCAACCAAUUUUUCUAUUAUUACGAUUUGUCAUCGAUUAAUUCUUUGAAGACUAAGAUAUUUAAACGUAAAAAUUGCUUUGUUUUUGUACUUUUUUUACUAACUUUGUUUACAUGUUUUUUCUAUUUAUUAUUUAUAUAUUAUAUUAUAAUAUUAUAAUAUCUUUAGAUCUAAUGUACUAAAAUGUUUAGGAUUAAUUUUUGAAAAAUGCUAAUGUCAUAGAUUUUGGUUUGUAUGUAAAAUGGAUAUUUUUCCAAUAAUAUUAGGGACGAAUUUAUUGUUUUAAUAUAGUGGACAAAAUCCGUUAAAGGCGAUCAAAAACAAAUAACUCUGUUAUUUCCGAUCUGCUAUAUUCAACCCGCUAUUUCAAAUUUUAUAGAUUUAAUAUUAUAAUCGAUUGGGAACUUUUAAAAAUAAAAUUUCUUUGGAUUAGAUUUUUUCAUAUAUUAAGUAAAAGAACUAAACUCAUUUUGUUCGGUAUAUCGUAUUAAAUUUUAAAAUUUUGAUGUAUAUAUGGAUUCAGCGACCUAAAAAACCACGCACACUAAAAAACCUCUUAAAUACUCAUAAUAAAAAAACGUUAUCUUUAAUCAUUUUUAUAAAAAUUCAUCUACUUUCCACUUUUAAUCUGCCAUUUUAAAUUAGAAAAAUUUAAUAUUAGAUUUGAAUACCGCGACCCCGAAAACCUGUAUAAAGGAAUUUUUAUGUUCAAAUACCUUCGUCUUCAACGAAUUAAUCAUUGACAACAAGUAAGUCAUAAUAAUCAAGAUUGGUCGAAUUUGGAAAACUUCUAACAUGAUUUUUGCAAUUUUUCUUGGCAAUAAAAAAGCGGUAUUGAGCGAUAGAUUUCGUCACACUUGAAAUAAAUUUAUCAAUUUCAGAAAUUCCAUUUCUAAGGCAGAAACCUCUCGUGGACGUCUCUCUAACACAAUUUAUAAGUUAUUAUGUCAUUAUGAUUAAUUAUACGUCUUAUUUAUAAGUAUUUGUAAAUUAUCUACGCGCCAUACACGUCACAUCUGAAUGGUCGUAUAUCCGUAUAUCCCCAUGGAUAUUUGCCACAUGCGAUGAUAUAUGGCAAAAAUGUAUGAAUUAUUUAAAGUUUUUCUUUUAAGUAAAAGAAAAUGUAUAUUUUGCACUUUAAAUUUUUUAUAAUAGUAUGAACUAUAAAGUUUUUAUUUGAUAUAAUUUAUUUUUUUAAACAUGGUAAAUAAUAUUUAAUAAAUUAAGUUAUUAAGUGUGGCACUAGAGUUACCUAGAUAAAUGCAAAAUAAGAAAUAAAAAUUAAAAUAAAAUAUUGAUGAAAUGUAAAAAUUAUGUACUUUAUUUUUUAUUUGAAUUGAAUUGUGUUACAUAAUUUUAAUGUAGUUAUUAAUUAAUUAAUUAAAAAUAUUAUCUUUUCUAUGAUAGAAGAAAAUUACCAAAACUUUAUUUUGUUUUUGAAUAAUAUUUCUUAAACAAAAACGCUAAAGAUAUAAUUUUAAAAACGUGACAAUAUAAACUACAAAAUGUCUUCUAUUAGAUAGUAGCAGUAUUUAUAAUACUAUUUUGUAUUUUGUAGUAGCUAAUGUUUUUGCAACAUGAUCCAAGAAGAACAUCUGAUAAGUUGAGUCCCAAAACUCUAGAUACGAGAAUAUUUACUCGAACACAGCGUGGUGCGCGACGUUGAAGGUUACCAUAGAUGAGGUCGCAGACUUUCCAGAUCCAAGCCGCUGCCUCACUGAGAAUCAGGCGGUGGGGUGCACAUGCGCUCAGCUCUGAAUCCGGAAAGUCUGGUUAGCAGAUCUAUGAUCUGUUCUAUAGAGAAGGAGUCCGCUUUACGCUGCACAACGAUUUUAUGGUUUAACUCGCAUUGCGAGGAAAAUGUGAAAAUUAUAUAUAAACAAAACAGUUUUAGGAAGAUUCUAAUAAGUAAAAUGAUUUAAUAUUAUCCAAAGUAGCACCAAUUGUAAUAUAUCUAUGUAUAAUGUGUGAAAGUUAUUUACAAACACUCGUAGAAAGAGAAAUACGGACACAAUCUUGUAUUGUUCAGUCCAUACUUAUAAGGUCUAUGGUAUUAAUACAGUACAAUAUUUAGUUUCUAAAAAAUAGGAAGGUGCCGCUUUAGGGGGGUUAGCUAGUAUUCGCAACUUUCCUCUACUGUUUAAAAUAAACAUUUUCUACAAAUUUUUUAAAGAAAUUCUUGUAAAAGAAAUUUGAAAUACAAUAAAUAUUGUGCGUGAUUA
Molecule: long non-coding RNA, 2511 nt
Organism: Solenopsis invicta (red fire ant)
Lineage: Eukaryota; Metazoa; Arthropoda; Insecta; Hymenoptera; Formicidae
Exons: 2
Source: RefSeq, a predicted model, not a curated record